ACGCUCGACACCUAGGGAGCAGCAGUGGGGAAUAUUGCACAAUGGGGGAAACCCUGAUGCAGCGACGCCGCGUGAGCGAAGAAGUAUUUCGGUAUGUAAAGCUCUAUCAGCAGGAAAGAAGAAAGACGGUACCUGACUAAGAAGCCCCGGCUAACUACGUGCCAGCAGCCGACGGUAAUCUGAGGCGGGCGUGGCGAAGGC
RNAcentral lists this ribosomal RNA (201 nucleotides) under uncultured bacterium. RNAcentral's name for it is "partial 16S ribosomal RNA". It matches the Rfam family "Bacterial small subunit ribosomal RNA", at positions 326 to 538 of the family's 1533-position model. The record is from RNAcentral.